GAAAUACAAUAUUAAAUCACUGCAAAUGAAAAGAGAGUCUCAAGAAAAAGGUAUAUUUUUAUUAAAUAAAUGCAAAUAAUCUUUAGUAUUUGACGAGUUUGCUCUUUUUUAAAUCCUGAAGCUGGACACUGGAAAUUGAUCCUUCAGUUAAUGUUUAGUUCAAACAAGCACACACGCAUACUUUGGCCUGUUUUAAGUUGGUUUGUUGUUCAAGGUCUGCCUGAAUGUACACUCUUACGCAACACUGUGAACACUGCGAUUCAUUCGUAACAUUGGAAAUGUCGACUUGUGUAUUUCACAAAACAACAUCCUCUGUGGAAAUUCUGAUAAACUGGACACACAGCUGCAGAGGGAGAGGUCAACGUGGACACUUCAGCCUGUCAGAACGGAGGAGCGUGUGGCUCGCUGUACGAAAACAGGGCCUGGCCUAAUGUUGCAUGAAGACCGUGGUGAAUUCAUAUUGAUGGGAAAGCAGCCUCUGAAGCCCAGCAGCCAUGAUUUUUUCAUAAGCCACCGGGAACAAGAAGUCAGUCAGCUGACAGCAGAACGAGCGCGUGCUGGGGAGAGCGACCGGUGCUGCAGGCGCUGUUGGGCUCCAGGGAUCCACUUGAGAUUGCUGGCAGAGGGACUGAUAAGGCAGCGAACCAUUCAUCAGGCCAAAUGAAGGCAGUAAAGUUGACUGGAGGAAGCCGGGCAUCGCCCCGGGACGGCGGCUGGGCCUCUCAGCGGAGACCUGUGACUAACACGUGUGAGCAGGCGCUCGCAUACACACAAAUAGCUGAAGAAUGGGGAAAGACGGUGGGACGAAAUGACCGGGAGGAGGCGUUGCGUUCAGGAGAUGGAGGGUGGGGGGGAGGGGGAGUAAAUCGGACCUCCAGGAGCAAAGGCCCCCCCCCCCCCCCCGUCUCCUCAGAGCUACACCGGGCGACUGAGGCUUCUGUCUGUGGUAACACGUGGGGGCCCGCUCCACUCCGAAAACAUCCAUCAGACAGAUAUUACUGUAAUCCAGAGGUGAUACAUUAGCUGGGAUGCCAGGGGGACACUGUGUGCCGGUGAUGGAUACCUCCAGGGCUCCCUGCUGUUGUCACGGCGGCCUCUCAGGGAGCGAGAACUGCUGCAGCUCGGCCUCAGACUGGCUAACACUUUCCCUGCUUUAUGUCACUGCUUAAAUUUAUCCCAAAGUAAGGCUGUUUGUAUUUUAUUCUUAAUCACACCACCCAGAGGAUGGAGACAUAUUUCCAC
Long non-coding RNA from Pungitius pungitius (ninespine stickleback), 1242 nucleotides. RefSeq lists it as uncharacterized. The record is from RefSeq and is a predicted model, not a curated record. The transcript is spliced from 4 exons. Lineage: Eukaryota; Metazoa; Chordata; Actinopteri; Perciformes; Gasterosteidae.